RNAcentral lists this long non-coding RNA (3566 nucleotides) under Piliocolobus tephrosceles (Ugandan red Colobus). RNAcentral's name for it is "lncRNA (ENSPTEG00000006848.1)". The record is from RNAcentral. Lineage: Eukaryota; Metazoa; Chordata; Mammalia; Primates; Cercopithecidae.
AAAAAAUUAUUUAAAAAUAAUCUAGAAAAUAUAAAAAUCAUUAUUAGUCUUAUUUUAUAUAAAUAUAAUACAUAUUGUUUGAAUACUGGAGACAAAUACCAGGAAAUUAUAUCAAAAAUAGUAUAUUUAUUUUAUAUAUUUAAUCUUAUAUAUAAGUAUAAUGUACAGUCUAUUGACGCGUUUAAUAUAGUAAAACAAAAUCAGUACGGCAUACCUUAUUUUUCAAAAAAUGACAAGCUAGAUGGUUACUAUUUUUUGAACUACAUCAUGGAUAACUUUGGUGUAAGUUUAUCGUUGUAAUAAAAGUCUAUAACAACUUAUCUUGAUUAUAUAUUUAUAUAUGUAUACAUAUAUCUACAUUUAUGUUAAUUUUUUUUUUUUUUUUUUUUUUUUACAGGUAAAAAAAAAUAUAAUUGUAGACUGUAUCUUCAACAGAAUGAAAAAAAAUUACCAAGAGUACAUACUUUUUUUAUUAACAAAUGAAAAUAAAAAUCUUUCAAAAAAAUACUUAGAAGAUAUGAACGGUAUGAAUGUCAUGACAUUAAGCUCGAGUGACAUAGAAGAAAUUAAUAUUUUAAUUUUUAACAAAUUAGCCAAAAAUAUAAUGGAUACACAAAAUUACCAAUCUGUUUACUUGCCACAUGGUAAGAAGGGUUAUAAGAGUGAUCAGGUUGUUUUAGUAUCUGGAAAAGAGGAAAAUAAAGUAGUACCAGUAGAAGAAGUAGAACCAGUAGAACCAGUAGAAGAAGUAGAACCAGUAGAACCAGUAGAAGAAGUAGAACCAGUAGAACCAGUAGUAGACGAAUAUGUAACUGAUUAUGAUAAGUUGGAAACUAAUGAUGAUGAUGAUGAUGGUGCUGAUGAUGAUGCUGAUGCUGAUGCUGAUGCUGAUGAUGGUGCUGAUGCUGAUGAUGGUGCUGAUGCUGAUGAUGGUGCUGAUGCUGAUGCUGAUGAUGACACAACACUUGAUGACAUGUAUGAAAACGUUUACUCUUCUUUCGAGGAUAGUAUUGAUUAUACAAUACAAGAUAGUAGUAGUAAUGAAAAAAGGGGUAUCGUUAAUAAAGAUGGAAAAAAAAUAGGUGUUAUCGAAACAGCAGAAAGGGAUAAAGUAGAAGAGUCAGAAAAAGUAACACUAUUAAAAAAAAUAAAUGAUAUUUAUUUUUUGAAAGAUUAUUUAAAUAUUAACAAAGAACUUGUAUAUACUUAUAUAGAAAGACCUUUAUUUCCAUAUAUAUAUAAAGAAUAUAAAACAUUAUUAAAUAAUUUGCUAUUAAAGAAGUUAAAAAAUAAAAAUGAUAAUUUAUUUUUUUUGAAGAGUAAAAUUUAUUUAUCUAGUAAUUUGAUUGAACAGAUUAUUAAGGAUAUUAUUUUAAAUUUUGUUGUAAAAAUAAAAGAUAAUAUUAGUAUAUGUAUGAAACUAAAUAAUAUGAAUAAAUGUAUAAAACUGCUUAUUCAUUUGAUGAAUGUAUAUAAAAAAAUAAAAAAAAAUAAAAAAAGAUUACAAAUAAAUAACUUAACGUUUAAUUUGGAUGAUUUAUUUGGGUAUAAUUAUUAUAAAGAGAAAGAUAGUAUGACUGAACACAUUCCUUCAAUGGGUUACAAUGAAAAAACAAAGAAUGAUAUGAUGACUAUAAAAAAUAAAGAAGAAAAUCAAAAGAUAAAAACAAAGGGAAAACAAAUAGAAUCGGAAAAUGUGUUUUUAGAAUCAAAUAUAUGGGAUGGUGAUGGGUAUAGCGGAGAAUAUGACAAAACAGAUGCUGUAAUUAAAGAUAGUUUAACACAUGAAGAAACAGAUGAUAAAAUAGACAGUGUAAUAACAAAUGGAAGAAGUAAUAAUGAGAAGACAAACCUAAACGAAGAGGCGACUGAUUUAAAUCAUAUAAUAAAUAAAGAUAAGGUAGAAUAUAAUAUAAUAUUAUUAACAGAAGAAAAAAAACGGUUGUAUGAAGACUUUUUAUUAAAAUAUAUGAAAAAUGAAAAUGAACGUAAAAUUGUUAAAAUUAUUUUAAAUUUGAAUUAUGAUAAUAUCGAUAAAGAAAUAGAAGAUAAUAUAAUAAAUAAAUUUUUAGAAGAAGCAGUAACACAAAAGUUGGUUUAUUUAAAUAAAUUGAAUUCUAUAUAUCAUAUAAUAGAUGCUCAUGACAAUUUGUUUGAUUAUAAAAAUAUCAAUUUUAUUGACAAAAUAAAGCAGGAGAUAAAUAAAAAAGGUCGUCUACAUAAGACAAUACAUAAUGUAACCAAAGUGGAUAAUCUGGUUAAUGAUAAAAAAAAAGAGCAUAACAAAAAAAAAGGACUAAAAGAAUCAAUAGAUAAAAAUGAAUAUACCAUACAAAAAGAAGAAAUUUUUGAUGACAUAGAUGAUGCACUAUUUCAUAAUAUAUGUACAAAAAUGUAUAUAAAUAAAAUAUUAUUAUUGAAAGAUAAUAUAUAUAAUAAUAGAAUUAAUUUAUAUUUUUAUGAACUUAUUUUAAAUAUAAAAAAUGCUGAACAUAUACAUAGCACUUAUUUGAUUAGUCAAUAUGAGAUGAUGAUAAAUGAUAUUAUAAAAACAACUAUUAUGAGCAAAAAUUAUAUGAAUAUAAAAAAUAUGUAUUUAAAAAAAAUAAUUAAUUUUUUAAAUAUAUCGGAAGAUACAGCUAUUACUGUUGAACUUAGUUGUAUAUAUGAACAUACAUAUUCUAUUUUUAAAGAAAUCAAAGAAAAUUUUUAUAUAUAUAAAAAUGAUAGCGAUUUUAUUGAAAAUUUAAAUAAAAUAUUAACUAUAUAUAACAAUUUAAAUUUAAUAACAAAAAAAAAUGAUAAAUAUUAUGUUAAAUUUGCACUCAUAGAAAGUGACUCUAAUAUAGUAUAUAAAAUAAUAGAAAAAUAUGUUCUAUGUGUAAUUGAUGUAAUUAAUGAUAAAGAUAGUUUAAAUCAUAAAGAAAAUAUUUUUAAGUUAACUGCUAUCUUAAACGUUAGUGACACUAUACUAAAUGAUAUAUCGGUUAAAAUAUAUAAAGUAAGUUUAUGUGCCUACAAAAAUGUAUGAGAAACAAAGCAUGGAAGAAAAGAAAAAGAAAAAGAAAAAAAAAAAAAAAAUAGGGGAAAUUUUUUUUUUUUUUUUUUCUCACACAGUAAUGUGUUUAUAUAUGGAUUCAAUACGUCUACAUGUGUUUACUUACAUGCUUAUUUAUUUAUUUAUUUAUUUUUUUUUUUAUUUUUUUUUAUUUUUUUUUUCUGUGACUUUUACAGGAAUAUAUAAAAGAUCAAAAGUUAAACAGCAUAAACUCUUUAGAUGAUUUUUUCCAAUUUUUGUUUAACAUGAGUAAAGAAAAACAAAAAGAAAUUGUGUUGGCACAUUUAGAAAAACAAAUACAGGAACAUUUAACAUGUAACCUAGAGUACCAGGAUAAAAUGCAAAAAGUACAUGACGUCAUUGUUUUUAUAAAUAAUAAUUUACAUGUUCAGAAAAAUGUGUUUAACAUAUCAUACAUAAGUCCCGAAACAGUUUAUGAGUUUUUAACAUCUUGUAUUAAUGAUUAUUUAAAUAAUAAAAAAAAUACAACAUCCUUUAUGGAAGACCA